This 549-nucleotide ribosomal RNA is filed under the name uncultured Glomus. RNAcentral's name for it is "SSU rRNA". It matches the Rfam family "Eukaryotic small subunit ribosomal RNA", at positions 548 to 1098 of the family's 1831-position model. The record is from RNAcentral. Lineage: Eukaryota; Fungi; Glomeromycota; Glomeromycetes; Glomerales; Glomeraceae.
UUGGAGGGCAAGUCUGGUGCCAGCAGCCGCGGUAAUUCCAGCUCCAAUAGCGUAUAUUAAAGUUGUUGCAGUUAAAAAGCUCGUAGUUGAACUUCGGGAUCAAUGAGUUGGUCGUGCCAUUGGUAUGAACUGGCUUUAUUGGUUCUCACCUUCUAAUGAACCAUAAUGUCAUUCAUUUGAUGUUUUGGGGAAUCAGGACUGUUACCUUGAAAAAAUUAGAGUGUUUAAAGCAGGCUCACGCUUGAAUACAUUAGCAUGGAAUAAUGAAAUAGGACAUCGCAUUCUAUUUUGUUGGUUUCUAGGAUCGAUGUAAUGAUUAAUAGGGAUAGUUGGGGGCAUUAGUAUUCAAUUGUCAGAGGUGAAAUUCUUGGAUUUAUUGAAGACUAACUACUGCGAAAGCAUUUGCCAAGGAUGUUUUCAUUAAUCAAGAACGAAAGUUAGGGGAUCGAAGACGAUCAGAUACCGUCGUAGUCUUAACCAUAAACUAUGCCGACUAGGGAUCGGAUGAUGUUGAUUUUUUAAUGACUCAUUCGGCGCCUUACGGGAAAC